This 585-nucleotide ribosomal RNA is filed under the name Monanchora arbuscula. Its description in RNAcentral is "eukaryotic LSU rRNA". It matches the Rfam family "Eukaryotic large subunit ribosomal RNA", at positions 411 to 922 of the family's 3401-position model. The record is from RNAcentral. Lineage: Eukaryota; Metazoa; Porifera; Demospongiae; Poecilosclerida; Crambeidae.
GGAGGGAAACGAAUGCAGCUGAAGUGGUUCUCCGUCAGGCUCAGGAGACGUCGGCGGGUCCUGCCAGGCAUCGGGAGCCGAAAGGCCCCGGUGCCCCCUGGGGCUCCCGUCUGCAAUUCUGCGGAGAGCCGGCCAACGGCAGUUGCUCCCGGCUCAGGAGGGGAACGUAUAGCCCCCCGCGACUGAGGAGAGCAGUGCAGGCCCCGGGGCUGGGCCGCUCCCGUCGAGGCCGCGUCGUGCAGUGGACGACGACGGUCCGCCUCCCCGGUGGGAGGCCGGUCACACCUUGUGCUGCGGUCGUUGGUGCCCGAAUGGCUGCAUCCGACCCGUCUUGAAACACGGACCAAGGAGUGCAACAUGCGCGCGAGUCUCGGGGUGGCAAACCCGUCGGCGCAAUGAAAGUGAAGGCAGACCCCAUCGUCGACCGAUCCCAGGCUACGCUGUGGCGGGAUUUGAGUGAGAGCGUGCCUGUUGCGACCCGAAAGAUGGUGAACUAUGCCUGAAUAGGGCGAAGCCAGAGGAAACUCUGGUGGAAGCUCGCAGCGAUUCUGACGUGCAAAUCGAUCGUCAAAUUUGGGUAUAGGG